Molecule: unclassified non-coding RNA, 184 nt
Filed under: Streptococcus oralis Uo5
Lineage: Bacteria; Bacillati; Bacillota; Bacilli; Lactobacillales; Streptococcaceae
Description: scRNA, 4,5S RNA, signal recognition particle
Rfam family: Bacterial small signal recognition particle RNA (bases 1-89)
Source: RNAcentral
UGGAGCAACAGUUCUGCGUGAAGCGGGUCAGGGGAGGAAUCCAGCAGCCCUAAGCGAUGUGAAUUGUGUGCUCUUUUUUCGUGCUUUUUUCGAAUAAAUAAGAUAAAAUAGCCUAGAAUAAAUGAUAAUAGAAAAGAGAAAAAUAUGAAAAUUCGUGGUUUUGAAUUGGUUUCGAGUUUUACAG